UAAGGAAUAUUGGACAAUGGAGGCAACUCUGAUCCAGCCAUGCCGCGUGAAGGAAUAAGGCCCUAUGGGUUGUAAACUUCUUUUAGACGGGACAAAACCCCUUUACGUGUAAAGGGUUGAUGGUACUGUCAGAAUAAGCAUCGGCUAACUUCGUGCCAGCAGCCGCGGUAAUACGAAGGAUGCAAGCGUUAUCCGGAAUUAUUGGGUUUAAAGGGUGCGUAGGCGGACUAAUAAGUCAGUGGUGAAAGCCUGCAGCUUAACUGCAGAAUUGCCAUUGAUACUGGUAGUCUUGAGUACAGUUGAGGUAGGCGGAAUGUGUCAUGUAGCUGUGAAAUGCUUAGAUAUGACACAGAACACCCAUUACGAAGGCAGCUUGCUAAGCUGUAACUGACGCUGAGGCACGAAAGCGUGGGGAGCAAACA
RNAcentral lists this ribosomal RNA (422 nucleotides) under uncultured bacterium. Its description in RNAcentral is "bacterial SSU rRNA". It matches the Rfam family "Bacterial small subunit ribosomal RNA", at positions 355 to 774 of the family's 1533-position model. The record is from RNAcentral.